Molecule: RNA transcript, 2334 nt
Organism: Macadamia integrifolia
Lineage: Eukaryota; Viridiplantae; Streptophyta; Magnoliopsida; Proteales; Proteaceae
Gene name: high mobility group B protein 15-like
Exons: 8
Source: RefSeq, a predicted model, not a curated record
AAGGACUGCAUAUGUGAGAGAGAGAGAGAGGUGUUGUAAUAGAAAAAGCAAUGAAGAUUAGUAUCUUAGUCAACCACUUUCAGGACUUUAUGGGUUGAACAGUGUGGAGAGAGAUAUAAAUAAAAGUUCUUGUCGUGUCAGUGCUAGGCAGUAUUACUUAUGGCCGGAGCCCAGAACGGCAGAAGCUCUGUUUGUAUCGUGGAGUCAUUUAGGAUUCUUCUUCCUUUGUCUCUUUGGUCUGGGCUAUGUUUUCUGGUCUCUCGAUGAAGGCUUGAAGGAGGGCUUUGCAGGGUGUAGUCUAUUGGGGUGAUUCAUGGCUGCAUUGUCAGCUUUGUUGUACGAUGGAGAUUUUUCGGGCUCUGAAGCUCUACCUGGUUACAGGGACUUUAGUCUGUUCUUCUUCUGGGUUAUUACUUCAAGGGUUAAAAGUAUCAGAACCCAUAAUAGUUUUAGGAAGAGCAGUCCAAGGAAGAAAUGGUUGAGAGAGGAGGAGAAACAGAGGAUCAGGGUCCAAGUUGUCGAAGAGAUUUGGCAAUGGUAUCAUCUUCUUCUGCAUGUUAUGCAAAGCCGGUUAGAGAAUCACAUCCAAACUGCCGUCCAUAUCCUCCACCCCUUGCGAAGUAUCAGGAUGUUAUGGCAGAUCGAAAGCUUUUCAUGAAUUCCCUGGAAAAACUUCAUGGUACCAUGGGAACUAAGUUUAUGAUCCCCACAAUAGGUGGCAAAGAGCUAGACUUACAUCGGCUCUUUGUAGAGGUGACUUCCCGGGGUGGUCUUGAACAGGUAAUUAGAGACAGGAGAUGGAAAGAAGUAACUGCUGUUUUCAAUUUUCCUGCAACAGCUACAAAUGCAUCUUUUGUCCUGCGCAAGUAUUACAUUUCCUUACUUCAUCACUUUGAGCAGAUCUACUUAUUUGGAGCUCAAGAUUGGACCUCACCACCUGCUGUUCCUUUGCAUUCUCCAUCUACCAUGACAGUUUCUUCUCGAGUGCCAGUUGAACCAGUGCCACCAUCAGCAGAAGCUCAAGCAAGUGUGAUGGUCAAACGAAGGAAAAGUACUGGGGAGUUCUUGCCUGGUGCAAGUCCACCACCACCAAUGCCUUGUCCUGUUGUUGGAGUCAUCGAUGGAAAAUUUGAACAUGGUUAUCUUGUCAGUGUUAUGGUUGGCACACGGCAACUGAAAGGUGUCCUGUAUCAUGCUAAUGAACUCUCAGCUGGCCAAGUGCCACAAUAUUCUGGUAUUCUUGCCAAUAAUAGUAGCAGGGAUGCUGCUGGGGUAGGCACACGCCGCCGUAGGCGUCGGAAGAAAUCAGAAAUCAGAAGGCGAGAUCCUGCCCACCCAAAACUUAACAGAAGUGGAUAUAACUUCUUCUUUGCUGAGCAGCAUGCUAGGCUGAAACUACUUCACCCUGGAAAGGAUAGAGAAAUAAGUAAGAUGAUUGGUGAAUUGUGGAACAAACUGACGGAGACUGAGAAAGCUGUUUAUCAGGAGAAAGGCUUUAAGGAUAAAGAGAGGUACAAAAGUGAGAUGGUGGUAUACAGGGAGAGACAGAGAACUGGAACAGUUAUCAGUGAUGCUGUACCGAUCCAGCAGCGACAUGCUGGGCCAGAUGUAGCAAUGGUGGAAGUGGAUCCAAUCAUAGAAGCUGAAGAAGGUGACUCCAUUCAAACAAUUGAGAGUGACACUAGUUCUGGAGUGUCUGAUUCUGAGGAGGAGAAAACUGCAGACAAGGAUUCAGAGAUUGAAAAAUCUCCAUUGGCAGGAAAUGGUUCUGAAUCUACCAAUGCAGCUCCAGGGGUGUCAAUAGAGGGAGAUGGUUUUGAGUUGCGGCAGAGGGAUCAGAAGGAAGAUGAGAACAAGGUUCAGGACUUGGGUUUGGAUGGUGUUUCAGGGCCUAUAAAGAAAGAAUCAGUAGCUAGUGAAGGACAUUGAUAUGAUCAGGGAAUUGGUAUAUUCUCGAAAGGGUUUUUACUUAUCAACUUUGGUGCAUUUGUAGAAUCAGUUCUGCAUGAAGGUGAUGCAAGUCCUGACAUUGCUCUCAAAGAAUUUUCUGCCCGCCUUCUCUGGUUCUGGUGAUCUGGUGGAUGAUCGUCGGAGACUUCAUACCUCCCCUGCUUUCCCUAUCUCUGAAUUUCCAAUUUUGAAAUGUGGAUAUGAGUUGAACUUUUCGUGGCGUUUUAUUAAUUUUUUUUUUUUAACAGUAUGGGUGAAACAGCAGUAGAAUGUUUGUGAUCUAAUUAUCUGUGAUGUAUUCUUUUUGCCUUCUGGAUGUUUUGAUAGUUCGUUGCAGUAUGCUUCCAGUUACUUUCUGUAAUAUAUUCCUUCUGCUUCGUGUCA